This 309-nucleotide unclassified non-coding RNA is filed under the name Melitaea cinxia (Glanville fritillary). RNAcentral describes it as "misc RNA ENSMCXG00005012429.1". The record is from RNAcentral. Lineage: Eukaryota; Metazoa; Arthropoda; Insecta; Lepidoptera; Nymphalidae.
AGAUGCGGGCCGCGGGUGCGUGACCACGGACGGUCUGCUGAGCGCCCUGGCCCGCCUGCGCCGUCCGCCACCCCCCCUCCCGCACCCUGUGACUCCCACACGACCCUCGGAUGGGCGUAACCAGGCCUCCAAGAUCCAAUCGUCUCGCCCCUCCCCUGAACACGCCGCAGGUCAAGACGGUAGUAUGACAGUGGCCCACGGUGAUGGUUCGCCCGAGCGGCUGGGUGGCGCUCUCCGCCGGCUUCACUACCGCGCCACGCGUCGAGCGCACUCCGCCGCCGCCCGACACCACUCCUCUACACCCAAGGU